CAGAAUUUCCAGUUGCCAAGCACCCACAUUUUGAUCUCAUGGCUGUGUGUCUACUGUGACAGUUGACUUAACUUCUAGGCCCAGAAUCACCCCUGUUGUCCUUCUGUGAACUUGGCCUGAUAUUUCUUUCUUGAAGCGUGGUGCCCAAAACAGUUCACACUUAUUGAGAUGGAGUCAGACCACAGCAGAAUAAAGUGGAAUUAUUGUUUCCCGUGACUUGGAAAAUAAACUUCAAUUGAUAUGGA
Molecule: long non-coding RNA, 245 nt
Organism: Crotalus tigris (Tiger rattlesnake)
Lineage: Eukaryota; Metazoa; Chordata; Lepidosauria; Squamata; Viperidae
Exons: 2
Source: RefSeq, a predicted model, not a curated record